ACUGCCUCCAAGGGUCCCCCAGGUGUGGCGGCACUAGUACCGCUGUGCCCCUGCCUGGAGCCAAGCCAGGACACUGUCUCCACCCAGCGCACCUGAGAGUGGAACGUCCCUUCGGGCUCCCCCCAGGAAAAGCAAAAAACGAAAACAAAACAAAAAGGAGAUUCAAAUUGCAAAACAAAGGAGAUUACAGUGGCACAACUGGAGGAGUUUACUCGAUAAAAACAAGGUCUUUAUCCAGAAAUAUCAAGAUGAUUAAAAAAUGGGUUAAGGGUGAAAUGGAUAACGAGACCUGGCCCAGAGGUUAGGAUGAAAGAAUGAUGUACCACCUUCAGGCCAGGAAACCAAGAUCUCCGAGCACAAUCCCAUUCCAGUCUCCAAAUGAGCCCAGGACAUUGUUUAGCAAUGAAGAAUACAGAAGUCUGGCUCAAAACCUUGCCCAGGGAUGCUCCCGAAGGUGAAAAGAAGGGAAUCCAGUGACUUGACAGAAG
This is a long non-coding RNA of Talpa occidentalis (Iberian mole), 488 nucleotides long. RefSeq lists it as uncharacterized. The transcript is spliced from 5 exons. The record is from RefSeq and is a predicted model, not a curated record. NCBI's taxonomy places the organism in Eukaryota, Metazoa, Chordata, Mammalia, Eulipotyphla, Talpidae.